Molecule: ribosomal RNA, 1287 nt
Filed under: Bradybatus kellneri
Lineage: Eukaryota; Metazoa; Arthropoda; Insecta; Coleoptera; Curculionidae
Description: 16S ribosomal RNA
Rfam family: Archaeal large subunit ribosomal RNA (bases 596-1287)
Source: RNAcentral
AAGGAAAAAAUCAUUUAUUUUUAAAAUAUUAUUAGGACUUUAAAAAAAAAGUUAAUUUUUAUUAUUUAGUAAGAAAAAAGGCUUUAAAUUAUAGAGAAUUAGUACUGAGAGGGAAAUUUCUUAUUUUAUAGAUAGAAAAAUUUAUUUUUUGUACCUUGUGUAUCAGGGUUUAUUAACUAAAAUUUUAUGAUAAAAUUUUCUCGAAUUUAAAAGAGCUAUUUGGGUAUAAUUUUUAUUGUGGAAUAAAUAUUAAGGAUAUCUUUAUAGAAGUGAAAUGCUAACCGAUUUUAAAUAUAUCUAGUUUUUUAAGAAAAAAAUUUAAUUUUAUUUUUAUAUUACUAUGAAAUUUCCUUUUUAAUUUCAUAUUAAUAAAAUUUUAUAUUUUUAGGGAUGAGCUUAAAAGUAAAUUAAUAAAAUUAAGUAGGGAAUUAUUUAAUAAAUAGGAUUUUUAGUUUUCAUUUUUAUUAGUGUUUUACUACUAUUUAAAUAUUAGAUAUAAUUUUUAUUUGAUUUAUAUUGUUUAUUAAAAUAUAGGUUUAAAUAUUUUCAAUUUAGAAAUAAUGAUAAAAUUAGUAUAAUAAAUUGUUUAAAUUUUGAACUAAAUUUUAAGGUUAAAUAAAGGAAUUCGGCAAACCGAUUUUUCACCUGUUUAUUAAAAACAUGGCUUUUUGGUAAUAAUUUAAAGUCUGACCUGCCCAAUGAGAAAUUUAAUGGCCGCGGUAUUUUAACCGUGCAAAGGUAGCAUAAUAAUUAGUUUCUUGAUUAGAAGCUUGUAUGAAAGGUUUGAUGAAAAAAUAGCUGUCUCUGUUUAAAUUAAUUAGAAUUUUAUUUUUAAGUAAGAAAGCUUAAAUAUAUAUUGAAGACGAGAAGACCCUAUAGAGUUUUAUAUUAGAAUUGUCUUAAUUUUUUAGAAUUUAGGAAUUUUGGUUAAUUUUAGUAUUUUAUUGGGGUGAUUAAAAAAUUAAUUGAACUUUUUUUUCAUCUAAUCAUUAAUUUAUGAAUAAUUGAUCCUUAAAGAAGAUUAAAAGAUUAAAUUACCUUAGGGAUAACAGCGUAAUUUUCUUUGAGAGUUCUAAUCGAAAAGAAAGUUUGCGACCUCGAUGUUGGAUUAAAAUGAAAUUUUGGCGCAGAAGCUAGAAGUUUAGGUCUGUUCGACCUUUGAAAUUUUACAUGAUCUGAGUUUAAACCGGUGUGAGCCAGGUUGGUUUCUAUCUCAAUAAAAGGAAAAUAUUUUAGUACGAAAGGAUUAAAUAUUUAGUUUAAAAUUUUACUGUUGGAAUUCUAUUA